This 322-nucleotide long non-coding RNA is filed under the name Marmota monax (woodchuck). Lineage: Eukaryota; Metazoa; Chordata; Mammalia; Rodentia; Sciuridae. The record is from RNAcentral.
CAGUAAGAAACUAAUAUAGUUUUGUCUGUAGAAUACUUAGUUGUAAUUGGGAAAAACAACAGAACAACAUGGAGUCAUUAGAUUGAAAAGACUUUGCAGAUAUUGAGACUAUUGCCAUUUGAUAGGACAUCACUGUAGUAUAUUUUGUGUAUUGUAAACAUAUGAUGUUUUCAUAUUUUCAAGAUUGGUUACAGAGUACUUUCCUUAUUGUAAGACUCCUUAAAAUUGAAUGUGGAAUCCAUCUUUAAUUUCUUUCUUUAUUUUCAUUAGUGUCUCAGAUAUAAUGCUAAAUAAAACUCAGACUUUAUUACCAAAAAAAAAA